RNAcentral lists this unclassified non-coding RNA (459 nucleotides) under Hevea brasiliensis (rubber tree). Lineage: Eukaryota; Viridiplantae; Streptophyta; Magnoliopsida; Malpighiales; Euphorbiaceae. The record is from RNAcentral.
GCUCUAACUAAUCAAAUAACUAUUUAAAAUUUUAAAUGUUUAUAAGCUCAAAUUAGCAUAUAAACAUUAAGUGCUUAUAAGCUAAGCCAAACACCCUCUACAAGCAUAUGACCAAAUGAUGUCCCAUGGAACUUGUAAAUAAAGGUCGUUACAUUUAUAUUAUUUUGGAGAAUUAUUGAAGUUUCUCUCCUACAAAUUGAACAAGAAAAGAGGAGGGAGGGUGGUUUGAGGGAAUACAAAACUAGAAAAGAAAGUGUACCUUUGGCAUUCAAUUAAUGGAUAAGAUUAAUAAUGAGCAAUUUUUGAAAUAAAAGUACUUGAUUGUUAAAAUUUAUAUUUAACGAAAAAAAACUUUUAGGACUUGACUGCAAAAGCAAAUACACUUCUAUGAUUUCAGAUGUUAUUCCUUGAUUGAUAAGGAUGAAAAGUUGAUUUAAAAAAAAAAAAGAAGAUUUAUUA